AUUGAACGCUGGCGGCAGGCCUGACACAUGCAAGUCGAGCGGAUGAAGGGAGCUUGCUCCUGGAUUCAGCGGCGGACGGGUGAGUAAUGCCUAGGAAUCUGCCUGGUAGUGGGGGAUAACGUCCGGAAACGGGCGCUAAUACCGCAUACGUCCUGAGGGAGAAAGUGGGGGAUCUUCGGACCUCACGCUAUCAGAUGAGCCUAGGUCGGAUUAGCUAGUUGGUGGGGUAAGGGCCUACCAAGGCGACGAUCCGUAACUGGUCUGAGAGGAUGAUCAGUCACACUGGAACUGAGACACGGUCCAGACUCCUACGGGAGGCAGCAGUGGGGAAUAUUGGACAAUGGGCGAAAGCCUGAUCCAGCCAUGCCGCGUGUGUGAAGAAGGUCUUCGGAUUGUAAAGCACUUUAAGUUGGGAGGAAGGGCAGUAAGUUAAUACCUUGCUGUUUUGACGUUACCAACAGAAUAAGCACCGGCUAACUUCGUG
Molecule: ribosomal RNA, 484 nt
Filed under: uncultured bacterium
Lineage: Bacteria
Description: partial 16S ribosomal RNA
Rfam family: Bacterial small subunit ribosomal RNA
Source: RNAcentral